UACGAAGGGGGCUAGCGUUGCUCGGAAUGACUGGGCGUAAAGGGCGCGUAGGCGGAUGGCACAGUCAGAUGUGAAAUUCCCGGGCUUAACCUGGGGGCUGCAUUUGAUACGUGUGAUUUAGAGUGAGGAAGAGGGUCGUGGAAUUCCCAGUGUAGAGGUGAAAUUCGUAGAUAUUGGGAAGAACACCGGUGGCGAAGGCGGCGACCUGGUCCUUGACUGACGCUGAGGCGCGAAAGCGUGGGGAGCAAACAGG
This 253-nucleotide ribosomal RNA is filed under the name uncultured bacterium. RNAcentral's name for it is "partial 16S ribosomal RNA". It matches the Rfam family "Bacterial small subunit ribosomal RNA", at positions 524 to 776 of the family's 1533-position model. The record is from RNAcentral.